RNAcentral lists this ribosomal RNA (433 nucleotides) under uncultured bacterium. Its description in RNAcentral is "partial 16S ribosomal RNA". It matches the Rfam family "Bacterial small subunit ribosomal RNA", at positions 29 to 507 of the family's 1533-position model. The record is from RNAcentral.
AACGAACGCUGGCGGCAGGCCUAACACAUGCAAGUCGAGCGGACCCUUCGGGGUUAGCGGCGGACGGGUGAGUCACGCGUGGGAAUAUGCCCUUCUCUACGGCAUAGUCCUGGGAAACGGGGGGUAAUACCGUAUACGCCCUUUGGGGGAAAGAUUUAUCGGGGAAGGAUUAGCCCGCGUUGGAUUAGGUAGUUGGUGGGGUAAUGGCCUACCAAGCCGACGAUCCAUAGCUGGGUUGAGAGGAUGAUCAGCCACACUGGGACUGAGACACGGCCCAGACUCCUACGGGAGGCAGCAGUGGGGAAUCUUAGACAAUGGGGGCAACCAUGAUCUAGCCAGGCCGCGUGAGUGAUGAAGGCCUUAGGGUUGUAAAGCGCUUGUAGCUGGGAAGAUAAUGACGGUACCAGCAGAAGAAGCCCCGGCUAACUCCGUG